GUGCCUGCAUCACUGCUCUGCACAGCAGCUAGAAUAACUGCACUGCUCCAUUGCUCAGGGUUUUUAAAGCUGACAGUUGAGCCCUUUCACAGUCACUGAGACACACAGAGAGCAUGGCUUCACUGGGGCUCCUCCUCUGGACACUGGUACUCUUUGCUCAUGAAUCCAGCAGUCAGAUUGUCCUGACUCAGAGUCCCACAGUGGAGUCUGUCUCUAUAGGAGGGAGUGUCACUCUGAACUGCAGAUCCAGUAGCUCUGGUUUUACCAGCAGUCUAGCCUGGUAUGUGCAGAAACCCGGAGGAGCUCCUAAACUCCUCUUCUCUUCACUGAAUAGCCGAGUCUCUGGAGCUCCAGCUCCAUUCACUGACAGCAGCUCAAGAACAAACUUCAUGCUGCCCAUCAGUGGAGUCCAGGCUGAAGAUGCAGGAGAUUACUACUGUCAGCAGCACUAUAGCUUCCAUUAAUGUGACCUUUAAGAGACACACUGCAGAUAUUAACACUGACCACAAGAGGGAGCCAGAGCACCAC
This is a non-coding RNA of Polyodon spathula (Mississippi paddlefish), 528 nucleotides long. The record is from the annotation of a RefSeq genome assembly. Lineage: Eukaryota; Metazoa; Chordata; Actinopteri; Acipenseriformes; Polyodontidae.